UGAGGAAUAUUGGUCAAUGGGCGGGAGCCUGAACCAGCCAAGCCGCGUGACGGAAGAAGGCGCUAAGCGUCGUAAACGUCUUUUGCCGGGGAACAAAGGCGCGGACGCGUCCGCGUGUGAGUGUACCCGGAGAAAAAGCAUCGGCUAACUCCGUGCCAGCAGCCGCGGUAAUACGGAGGAUGCGAGCGUUAUCCGGAUUUAUUGGGUUUAAAGGGUGCGUAGGCGGCCCGUUAAGUCAGCGGUAAAAGCCCGGGGCUCAACCCGGCGAGCCGUUGAAACAUGGAGGGCUAGAGACGGCGAGAAGUACGCGGAAAUGCGCGGUGUAGCGGUGAAAAUGCAUAGAUAUCGCGCAGAACUCCGAUUGCGAAGGCAGCGUACCGGCGCGGACUGACGCUGAGGCACGAAAAGCGUGGGUAUCGAACAGGAUUAGAUACC
This 435-nucleotide ribosomal RNA is filed under the name uncultured bacterium. Its description in RNAcentral is "bacterial SSU rRNA". It matches the Rfam family "Bacterial small subunit ribosomal RNA", at positions 355 to 786 of the family's 1533-position model. The record is from RNAcentral.